Molecule: non-coding RNA, 72 nt
Organism: Aedes albopictus (Asian tiger mosquito)
Lineage: Eukaryota; Metazoa; Arthropoda; Insecta; Diptera; Culicidae
Source: Rfam
GGCUUGGUAGCUUAUUUGGUAAAGCACUUGUCUAGCGAAAAAGGGUCGUGAGUUCAAAUCUCACCUGAGCUG